Non-coding RNA from Acanthosepion pharaonis, 110 nucleotides. NCBI's taxonomy places the organism in Eukaryota, Metazoa, Mollusca, Cephalopoda, Sepiida, Sepiidae. The record is from the annotation of a GenBank genome assembly.
UACGGCCACAUUAAGCUGAAACACUGGUUCCUGUUCGAUCACCGAAGUUAAGCAACGUCGUGCCUAGUCAGUACCUAAGUGGGUGACUGUUUGGGAAUGCCAGGUAAUGG